Molecule: ribosomal RNA, 513 nt
Filed under: uncultured bacterium
Lineage: Bacteria
Description: bacterial SSU rRNA
Rfam family: Bacterial small subunit ribosomal RNA
Source: RNAcentral
GAUCAUGGCUCAGAACGAACGCUGGCGGCGCGUUUAAGCAUGCAAGUCGAGCGGCAAGGGCCUUCGGGCCCCUAGAGCGGCGGACGGGUGAGUAACACGUGGACAAUCUGCCCCCCGGCCCGGGAUAGCCCAGGGAAACCUGGAUUAAUACCGGAUGAGACGGGACCCGCGAUGGCGGGAUCCGGGAAAGGCGCUGCGGCGCCGCCGGGGGAUGAGUCUGCGUCCCAUUAGCUGGACGGCGGGGUAACGGCCCACCGUGGCGACGAUGGGUAGCCGGCCUGAGAGGGUGGACGGCCACAUUGGAACUGAGACACGGUCCAGACUCCUACGGGAGGCAGCAGCUAAGAAUCUUCCGCAAUGGGCGAAAGCCUGACGGAGCCGACGCCGCGUGAACGAAGAAGGCCGUGAGGUUGUAAAGUUCUUUUCGGGAGGGGGAACAACCGUGGCAGGGAAUGGCCGCGGGAUGACGUGAAUCCCGGAAUAAGCCCCGGCUAACUACGUGCCAGCCGCCGC